UCGGCCUUAGUGGCGCACGGGUGCGUAACGCGUGGGAAUCUGCCCUUGGGUUUGGAAUAACAGUUGGAAACGACUGCUAAUACCGGAUAUUGUCUCAAGACCAAAGAUUUAUUGCCCAAGGAUGAGCCCGCGUCGGAUUAGCUAGUUGGUGGGGUAAAGGCUCACCAAGGCGACGAUCCUUAGCUGGUCUGAGAGGAUGAUCAGCCACACUGGGACUGAGACACGGCCCAGACUCCUACGGGAGGCAGCAGUGGGGAAUAUUGGACAAUGGGCGAAAGCCUGAUCCAGCAAUGCCGCGCGAGUGAUGAAGGCCUUAAGGUUGUAAAGCUCUUUUACCCGGGAAGAUAAUGACAGUACCGGAAGAAUAAGCUCCGGCUAACUCCGUGCCAGCAGCCGCGGUAAU
This 403-nucleotide ribosomal RNA is filed under the name uncultured Sphingomonas sp. Its description in RNAcentral is "bacterial SSU rRNA". It matches the Rfam family "Bacterial small subunit ribosomal RNA", at positions 86 to 524 of the family's 1533-position model. The record is from RNAcentral. Lineage: Bacteria; Pseudomonadati; Pseudomonadota; Alphaproteobacteria; Sphingomonadales; Sphingomonadaceae.